AUACGGAGUUGAUUUCCACCAAGUCACAAUUGCAUCUCUAGUGACGCUUUCGCUAUUUCACUCUUCACAUUGGUUGCCAGUGCCAGGAUGAAAGUUACCAUGGGCAGCUGCGAAUUCUUUACAUGCUCACAUGGUGGCAUGCGACUAAAAAUGUUUGUGAAAUUUGGAAACAACUUUCAAUCAAACUUUACCACAUCAACACCUAGAAAAAGUAGCUACAGAAAUAUAAGGGCAG
RNAcentral lists this long non-coding RNA (235 nucleotides) under Elaeis guineensis (African oil palm). Its description in RNAcentral is "long non-coding RNA (EGUI_LNC026349)". The record is from RNAcentral. Lineage: Eukaryota; Viridiplantae; Streptophyta; Magnoliopsida; Arecales; Arecaceae.